RNAcentral lists this unclassified non-coding RNA (339 nucleotides) under soil metagenome. RNAcentral describes it as "partial contains 5.8S ribosomal RNA, internal transcribed spacer 2, and large subunit ribosomal RNA". The stretch from base 1 to 120 matches the Rfam family "5.8S ribosomal RNA", at positions 35 to 154 of the family's 154-position model. The record is from RNAcentral.
GAUGAAGAACGCAGCGAAAUGCGAUAAGUAGUGUGAAUUGCAGAAUUCAGUGAAUCAUCGAAUCUUUGAACGCACAUUGCGCCCCUCGGUAUUCCGUGGGGCAUGCCUGUUCGAGCGUCAUUUAACCCCUCAAGCCUAGCUUGGUAUUGGGUGCUUGUCCCGCCUCUCGCGCGGCGACUCACCUCAAAGUCAUUGGCAGCCCGCAUCUCGCCGGCCGUGAGCGCAGCACAGACGCGCUCUUGGCAACGACGGAUCGGCUCUCCAGAAGCUUAUUUCAACCACUGACCUCGGAUCAGGUAGGGAUACCCGCUGAACUUAAGCAUAUCAAUAAGCGGAGGA